ACUGUGGUCUGCAACCCGACCACACGAAGCUGGAAUCGCUAGUAAUCGCGGAUCAGAAUGCCGCGGUGAAUACGUUCCCGGGUCUUGUACACACCGCCCGUCACACCAUGGGAGUCAGCAACGCCCGAAGUCAGUGACCCAACCUUUAAGGAGGGAGCUGCCGAAGGCGGGGCAGGUGACUGGGGUGAAGUCGUAACAAGGUAUC
RNAcentral lists this ribosomal RNA (205 nucleotides) under uncultured bacterium. RNAcentral's name for it is "partial 16S ribosomal RNA". It matches the Rfam family "Bacterial small subunit ribosomal RNA", at positions 1297 to 1500 of the family's 1533-position model. The record is from RNAcentral.